This 745-nucleotide ribosomal RNA is filed under the name uncultured bacterium. RNAcentral's name for it is "bacterial SSU rRNA". It matches the Rfam family "Bacterial small subunit ribosomal RNA", at positions 33 to 773 of the family's 1533-position model. The record is from RNAcentral.
ACGCUGGCGGCAGGCCUAACACAUGCAAGUCGAGCGGUAGAGAGAAGCUUGCUUCUCUUGAGAGCGGCGGACGGGUGAGUAAUGCCUAGGAAUCUGCCCGGUAGUGGGGGAUAACGUUCGGAAACGGACGCUAAUACCGCAUACGUCCUACGGGAGAAAGCAGGGGACCUUCGGGCCUUGCGCUAUCAGAUGAGCCUAGGUCGGAUUAGCUAGUUGGUGGGGUAAUGGCUCACCAAGGCGACGAUCCGUAACUGGUCUGAGAGGAUGAUCAGUCACACUGGAACUGAGACACGGUCCAGACUCCUACGGGAGGCAGCAGUGGGGAAUAUUGGACAAUGGGCGAAAGCCUGAUCCAGCCAUGCCGCGUGUGUGAAGAAGGUCUUCGGAUUGUAAAGCACUUUAAGUUGGGAGGAAGGGCAGUUACCUAAUACGUGAUUGUUUUGACGUUACCGACAGAAUAAGCACCGGCUAACUCUGUGCCAGCAGCCGCGGUAAUACAGAGGGUGCAAGCGUUAAUCGGAAUUACUGGGCGUAAAGCGCGCGUAGGUGGUUUGUUAAGUUGGAUGUGAAAUCCCCGGGCUCAACCUGGGAACUGCAUUCAAAACUGACUGACUAGAGUAUGGUAGAGGGUGGUGGAAUUUCCUGUGUAGCGGUGAAAUGCGUAGAUAUAGGAAGGAACACCAGUGGCGAAGGCGACCACCUGGACUGAUACUGACACUGAGGUGCGAAAGCGUGGGGAGCAAAC